GCUGGUUCCAUGAGACCAUACAGCUUAAGUCACUGAGUGAUUUUAUUUCUUCUGGUAAGCAAAAACUUGCACCAAACAUCAUUAACAUAAUAUAUAGACUUACUUAACCUCCGAAGGUUUGAAAGCAAGUAAUAAAAAUGACAUGAAUUAAGAUAGACUCUUUAAGAAAAUUCGUAAAAGAAAUUCUUGAUGAAAUUCAGGGAAGCUGAAAGAUCAAAUCUGUUCACUGUGAUUUGCCAUUUCUGGCUUUUAAGCUAUGCUAUGCAUCCAAUUGCAUUCCUACUGUGAUACCUUCAGUAUCUGCCUCUUGUGCUGAAAACCCAGCCUUUCUUCCUAAUUUGCUACCUUUAAACAAAAAACAAAAGUAGUAUUCACCAAAGCUGUAAAACUUGCCUGUCUUCUUCCUUCGGGUUUUAUUAGAAUCACAUAGGAGUUUGAAGUGGAUUUCACAUGGGAGUUCCACGUUUUGUAACUAUGUAAAUACAAGAUUUAGAAUAUAUAUUCGUAGGCUUUGUUUUAGUUUUUAAUAAGUUGACUUGCGGAAUCAAACUCUAUAACACAGAGAUGGGUUAUAAAGCAGGUAUGUUUAUUCCAGCGCUGGGUGCAAGGGGGAUAGCUCCUCCAAACUUGCACCCGGACUUGUAAAACCGUGAUACAGAUAUAGGUACACCUCAUGCAUAGUCAAUGAUUUCCCGUAAUUCUGAUACAUAUUCUUUAUCGUGCAAACCCCCUCUUGUUAUCGCCCAUCUUGUCAGGGAGAUGCAAAUAUCAAAAGAGGAGUUGCAACACCUAAUCCCCUUCUCGCCAGGUGUCUCAGGGAGUUCUCACUCCUUAAUCUUCAUCCUUCCUGCUCUCCCAGACCCACUGUCUCCAUUCCUUGUUAUUCUAACUAACUAAAUCAUUUUCUGUAAACUACCUUUAACUAUCCCCCUUUUAGCCCCCCUUUGUUCUAAAUUCCAGCAGAGCCUCUGCUUCUUGCUUCACUGUUCAGAUGUAUCUUUUUCUUUCACACGUUUCUUGUGUAUUUCAGUUACUAACUCAUUAAAGCGUGAGCUGCUUACCUCUCUGCAUUAGCAUGACCUCGUCUAUGUAGCAGACAUCACGUUCUGAUUAACUAAUAUCAUUUGCAGUUUCCAAAGCGAUAUAACAG
Molecule: long non-coding RNA, 1150 nt
Filed under: Coturnix japonica (Japanese quail)
Lineage: Eukaryota; Metazoa; Chordata; Aves; Galliformes; Phasianidae
Description: lncRNA (ENSCJPG00005007104.1)
Source: RNAcentral